RNAcentral lists this ribosomal RNA (253 nucleotides) under uncultured bacterium. RNAcentral's name for it is "partial 16S ribosomal RNA". It matches the Rfam family "Bacterial small subunit ribosomal RNA", at positions 524 to 776 of the family's 1533-position model. The record is from RNAcentral.
GACGAACCACCCAAACGUUAUUCGGAAUUACUGGGCUUAAAGGGUGCGUAGGCGGCGCGGAAAGUCAGAUGUGAAAUCCCUCGGCUUAACCGAGGAACUGCGUUUGAAACUACCGUGCUCGAGUAAGACAGAGGUAAGCGGAACUUCGGGUGGAGCGGUGAAAUGCGUUGAUAUCCGAAGGAACACCGGUGGCGAAAGCGGCUUACUGGGUCUUUACUGACGCUGAUGCACGAAAGCUAGGGGAGCAAACGGG